This is a non-coding RNA of Cyprinodon variegatus (sheepshead minnow), 466 nucleotides long. The record is from the annotation of a RefSeq genome assembly. NCBI's taxonomy places the organism in Eukaryota, Metazoa, Chordata, Actinopteri, Cyprinodontiformes, Cyprinodontidae.
CAGGGAGGAGCUGAGCUGUUACUGAACUAUAGAAGAGACACAAACUUCCACAUUCAACACAGUUCAAACAUUAACUCUGAUCAUCAUGGACUAUUAUGGACUUUCUCUGCUGGUCGCCUCACUGCUAACAGGGAUCAGAUGUAAUCAAUUGACUCCACAUAAUGCGGAAGUUAUCAGCUUGAAGGAAACUUCUGUUAUUCUGAGCUACAAUUUUUCUACACAAGCAACUGCUUCUGAUUAUUUCUUCUGGUAUCGACAAUAUCCUGGAAAACCUCCAGAGUUCCUGAUCUCUCACUUAGGAACUGGAAAAGAAAUAUCUCAGGGGGUUCCUGGUUUUUCCUUCAAAGUGAGUGAUGAUAAAACCCAGAUGGAGCUGCUGAUCUCCUCUGCUGAGCUGACUGACUCUGCUGUGUACUACUGUGCUGUGAGGCCCACAGUGACAGGAAACACCAGAACUCUGUACUAG